UUUGCAUGUGAUAUUUCUGCUGGCUGAUCCAAAAAGAAGAGAAUAUAUGUCCAUUUGCAUGUGAUAUUUCUGGUCUUAUGAGAUAAUUCGCAUUCAGAAAUGGGUAUAUAAUAUGUUGCCUUGGCAUGGAAUAUAUGAAGAAAACAAGAACCAGCGCAGUCAAGUUGUGGACAACAGUAAAGUUACUGGUAAAAGACAGCAGUCAAUGUCAUUAUUACCUUAACGUGAGGAGAGAGGAGUCUUAGCGUUGCAGACAAAAAUC
Molecule: long non-coding RNA, 262 nt
Filed under: Ricinus communis (castor bean)
Lineage: Eukaryota; Viridiplantae; Streptophyta; Magnoliopsida; Malpighiales; Euphorbiaceae
Description: long non-coding RNA (RCOM_LNC000681)
Source: RNAcentral